UGCACUCACUACUGUAAGUCGCUCUGGAUAAAAGUAUCUGCUAAAUUACUAAAA
This is a non-coding RNA of Salmo salar (Atlantic salmon), 54 nucleotides long. The record is from Rfam. NCBI's taxonomy places the organism in Eukaryota, Metazoa, Chordata, Actinopteri, Salmoniformes, Salmonidae.